CCAGACUCCUACGGGAGGCAGCAGUAGGGAAUCUUCGGCAAUGGACGAAAGUCUGACCGAGCAACGCCGCGUGAGUGAAGAAGGUUUUCGGAUCGUAAAACUCUGUUGGUAGAGAAGAACGUUGGUGAGAGUGGAAAGCUCAUCAAGUGACGGUAACUACCCAGAAAGGGACGGCUAACUACGUGCCAGCAGCCGCGGUAAUACGUAGGUCCCGAGCGUUGUCCGGAUUUAUUGGGCGUAAAGCGAGCGCAGGUGGUUUAUUAAGUCUGGUGUAAAAGGCAGUGGCUCAACCAUUGUAUGCAUUGGAAACUGGUAGACUUGAGUGCAGGAGAGGAGAGUGGAAUUCCAUGUGUAGCGGUGAAAUGCGUAGAUAUAUGGAGGAACACCGGUGGCGAAAGCGGCUCUCUGGCCUGUAACUGACACUGAGGCUCGAAAGCGUGGGGAGCAAACAGGAUUAGAUACCCUGGUAGUCCGCGCCGUAAACGAUGAGUGCUAGAUGUAGGGAGCUAUAAGUUCUCUGUAUCGCAGCUAACGCAAUAAGCACUCCGCCUGGGGAGUACGACCGCAAGGUUGAAACUCAAAGGAAUUGACGGGGGCCCGCACAAG
Molecule: ribosomal RNA, 606 nt
Filed under: uncultured bacterium
Lineage: Bacteria
Description: bacterial SSU rRNA
Rfam family: Bacterial small subunit ribosomal RNA
Source: RNAcentral